GAGCCCGUGGCUCAAUGGUAGAGCGUUUGACUCAAAAACCAAAUGUCGUGGCUUCGAAUCCCAGGUUUG
This 69-nucleotide transfer RNA is filed under the name Schistocephalus solidus. It matches the Rfam family "tRNA". From Rfam's summary of the family: Transfer RNA (tRNA) molecules are approximately 80 nucleotides in length. Their secondary structure includes four short double-helical elements and three loops (D, anti-codon, and T loops). Further hydrogen bonds mediate the characteristic L-shaped molecular structure. tRNAs have two regions of fundamental functional importance: the anti-codon, which is responsible for specific mRNA codon recognition, and the 3' end, to which the tRNAs corresponding amino acid is attached (by aminoacyl-tRNA synthetases). tRNAs cope with the degeneracy of the genetic code in two manners: having more than one tRNA (with a specific anti-codon) for a particular amino acid; and 'wobble' base-pairing, i.e. permitting non-standard base-pairing at the 3rd anti-codon position. The record is from Rfam by way of RNAcentral. Lineage: Eukaryota; Metazoa; Platyhelminthes; Cestoda; Diphyllobothriidea; Diphyllobothriidae.